AUAUCGAUACCUCCUAAGUAUACUGAGUCAUCUAACAAAUUUAGGUAUUUUGUUUUUUUUAUACAAAAGUACAUAAUAAACCAUGAUCUAAAUGUUAGUGUUAUUUUUUUUUUAAAAGGACCUAUAAUUACCGAGAUAAUUUCACGUAUACUAAAUCAAUUUCAACAUCAGUUAAAAUCGUACAUUGUAUACUGAUCCAAAUAACAUUGUAUCAGUAUUCGCGGGGCGUGAGGAGGGACGCAUUGAUACAAGUAUAUUAUGGCUCAGUAUACGAUAAAUGACGGCGAGGGCGCGAAUUUAUUUUAAUUUUCUCAAUAAUAAGGUGAAUAAUACUAAUGAUACAAUUAGCAAUAUCUCAGGAAUCGGUGAUAUAAUGCAAAACAGGGAUGAAUAUGAGUCUCCAUUGCCACCAGAUGCAAAUUUUAUGGAAGAGGAGCUAUCAAUACUUGAUGAUAUUGAUUAGAAUGAUAGCAAGGAAGUAUCGCAGAAUAUCCCUUCUAAUGCUUACAUAUUAUUCGUAGAUUAUAUUCUUUGCUCUUCGCCUUGGGUAUCGAAUGUUGAUAACUGAACUCAAAAAGGAGAUCGAUCGCCAUCAGUCAUAGAGAACACUCCAGGUAAUUCGCCCAUCCAGAAUAGCAUUAUAGAAAAUUAUUGUGAUAUUACUCCAGUACCAUCGCCGUAUAAUUCUUUUGACUCAUCUCCUGUUAAUUUCUGACAUUAAUGACAUCACAUACUCAUCGUCCAAUAACGCCAAAAGCGCAUUUCCAUUGCGAAAAAAGAUAAAGAAAGGCUAAAGGAUAAAAAAUGUAAGGAUAAGGAGAGGAAAUAUAAGCUUAAUAGAGGAUUGGAAUAUGUCAGUAGAAACGGAAGAGUACAUGCUACGAGAAUUAUGAAAACUUCUUGCCCCUCAACUUGUCGGAAAAAAUGCAGUGAGAAAUUAACAGAAUGUUUUGGAUUAUUGGACCACCGAAGACAAUGGGUUUUUUGGCAAGAUAUGUUGUAAAAGCUGGAAAAAAGAGAAAAAAUAUUGUCGAUAAAAAAAAAGCAGUGAAGGAGAUAAUAUUAUUAAGACCACAAAAAUAUUGGUUUGCAAAACUAUGUUCUUGAGAACCCUUUCUAUUAGUUUUGAUUUUGCUUAUACAGAUUUAGAAAAGUCCGAUAAAGGUAAUGGAUUUAUUAAAUCAGAUCAGCGUGGUCUUUGGAUGAACAUAUAAUCCAUCCGAUAACGUUCACAGUGUUAUAGAUCACGUUGAAGCAUUUUCUCCUGUAGAGUCACAUUACACUCGCCAAAAAUAAAGUAAAAAUUAUCUGGAAGGCUUUUUAUCCUUCCCAAAACUGUUCAUGAAUCGAAUGGUUUAUGGACUACCGUGAGACAAUAUCUAUAUAUAGGUUUUAUAAACCCAAAAAAGAUAUUUGUGAACAAUGUCACAUUUAUGAAAAUAACAAGCAAGUUCUGCAGGCAGAUAAAGAAAAGCAUGAUGAGCAUUUAAAAAAAAAGAGAAAGCUAGAAAGAUGAAAACAAAAGAUAAAAAAUCAGCGUUACAAAAUAAUGAAAUCCUUACAUCAGCAUCUGAUCUUCAAAAGUGUCUUAAUGUAUGUACCUCACGGAAGCGUGAGUACUUUUUAUUAUAAACGGAAACAUUAUUUGUAUAAUUUCACGAUAUUAAUUCUGGGAUCUCGCCAAGGUGAUUGCUUUUGAUGGUAUCAACAGACAGCAAAGAGAGGUGCAAUUGAAAUUUCCAGCUAUCAUUUUAAGUUUAUAGAAGAUACGGGUGGUGAAGGUGUCAAUGAUUACCUGUUUUAGUCAGACAACUGUGGAGGCCAAAAUAGAAAUAGGAUUUAUUUCUUAAUGUAUAUGUUAGGUAGUUUAAAGUGUAGUAUAGCUAUUAGCCAUCGCUUUCUAAUAGUGGGUCAUUCACAAAGUGAAGGCGACAGUAUGCACGCUUUAAUUGAAAGACAGACAAAGAUAAAAAGCUUUAUAUGCCUGAUCAAUGAUAUACAGCUUUUAGAUACAUACACAGUUAUUGAAGUGUCUCAGGAUUUAAUAAAGGACUUCAAAUCAAACUCAAAACUUAUAAACAACUGGACAACUACUAAUGAUGGAUCUAUCUAUCUAAAUAACUCUAAUGGAGCAGAAGAUAGUGAUUCAGACUGAUUUUUGAUUCGUUCAACCUUUAAUAUUUUUAUUUAUUUAAUUAUUUAUUUUUAUUAAUAUUUAAGUUAGAAUUUCCUAGAUUUUUAGAUAUUUAUAUUAUUCAUAUCUAUUAUUUUUAGUAAUAUUGUUUAAAGUAAGUUACCAUUUUUAGUUUCUAUUAUUUUUAUUGAUGUUUGUUACUUUUCAAGAAACUUUAAUGAUACUACAUGCUACAAAAAAGGGUCCUACUUAGUAUAAACGAAAAAUACAUCGUGAUUCUUUAAA
This is a long non-coding RNA of Pieris napi, 2419 nucleotides long. RefSeq lists it as uncharacterized. The record is from RefSeq and is a predicted model, not a curated record. Lineage: Eukaryota; Metazoa; Arthropoda; Insecta; Lepidoptera; Pieridae. The transcript is spliced from 2 exons.